GCAAGAUCUUAAGUUCAUGCACCACAGUUAAAAUCCAGAAGAAACUGUCUAGACUUGAUGAACAAGAAGUCAGAUGAAGUUAUCAGAACAGACCAUAGCAGACAAGUAACUCUAAAGAUUUUUGUCCCAGAAAUGAUGCCUGGAAAGAGCAAGAUGGAAGCCUACGGACCUGGCAGAAGUCAGAGACCUCACACUAAAGAGGGUUAGUCAGCAAGAACUUAAGUCAUAGGGAAGAAGAUAAGAGCCUGAAAUUUCCUAGGCCAAUUCAGCGUGUAUGAAGGCAAAGCCUCUGUCAGCAUGGUUCCCUGAACAACUAUGAAGAUCAAAGUGCACCCUCCUCCUCAUAUCUAUAUGUUGCAUGCUUAAAUUCUGAGAAAUAAGGGGAAAAAACGGAAAUGUUGCAUGGAUGAGAAAUAACAUUUUAUUUAAUUAAUAUACUGAAAUUUGGUAGUUGUUAAUUACUGUAUCAUAACCUAGGUUAUCUUGGUUAAUAUACGAUUUAUACUCCAUCUUGUUAGUUUCAGCUCAUUGUUGUAAUAUGCUAAGAUCUUUUAGACAUUAAUUCCAUUAUUAAUAUACUAAUUAUUUUCCCAGGUAUAUGUCACCCUUAAAUUGUAUAAGUAUGUAUUUUAUAUUUUUAUCUUUUCCAGUUAAAAACAAUCUAAGUCCAUAUUCAUGGAUUGGAAAAUGUAAUAUUGCUAAAAUGUCCAUAUUACCCAAAGCAAUCUACAGAUUCAAUGCAACAUGUAUCAAAAUACCAAUAGAAAGUAGAUUGGUGAAUAACAGAGGCCAGGAAGAAUACAGAGGAGGUGGGGAAGAAGAGAGGUUAAUAGGUACAAAAAUAUAGUUAGAUAGGGGAAAUAAGACCUAGUGCUCAAUAAAUCAGUUGAGUGACUACAACAAUAUAUAAUUUAUUAUAUAUUUCAAAAUAGCUAGUACAGAAUAAUUUGAAUAUUCCAGGCAUAAAGAAAAAUGUUUAAGGUAAUGAGUAUUUCAAUUACCCUGGUUUAAUUAUUACAUGUUAUAUGAAUAAAUCAAAAUACCACAGGUACCCCUAAAAUAUGUACCUCUAUUAUAUACCAAUUUUUAGAAAUCUAUGUAAAGGCAAUUCCUGAGGCAUUUCAAUAAGAGCCACCCCUGAGUACAAUAUCAAUCAUGAAUUAUCACACCUUGGGUCCAGUCAUUCAACCUAUUACUAGUUUAUCUAGGCCAUAUUUUUCUAGGAUAUAUCCUGAAAUUCCUUUGCAAAUAUACUUUUGAAAUCUAGAAAUAUAUCUACAUUUAUUUGGUACAUAUACUUAGAAAUCUUUUCAGACCAAUACAUAAUGUAAUGUUAAAUUUAAAAUAUAAUGUAAGUGUACAGUACAAUAUUUAAUAGAACAGAUCCAGAAAUGAGCAUUAUUGAUGUGUAAAAUUGUAUCAAUUUCGCAUAAAAGCAAAGCAAUCAAAUUCUGGAGUCAGCUAGAUCUAGUUCAAAUCUCAGCUCUGAUACUGUCACUGAUCUUGAUAUUUGCUUAGUGUCUGGAUUUCUGAAUUAUCUCAUCUGUAAAAUAUGAAUAAUAAUUAUCAUACCUACCUCCAAAAGUUGCUACAAGAAUUAAAGGAAGUAAUGCUAAAGAAUGCUCAGAUAUGGGUCUGUUAUAUUACAAUAUUUCAAAAAGUAUUACUUAUAUCAUAAUAAUUAUGAAUUUGAGAUAUACCAUUUUUAAAUGACAUCUAAAGUGUUGCUUAAUUAUUUUAUUUUAUAUUCUUUCUAAAUGUUAAGACAGACUAAAAACUAAGAACUCUUAAUCUGCUAGUCUUAGAUAGAUUUUGUCAUAUCUGAAAAUAUGGAUUACAGUGCAGUUCUUUGAGCAAGUUGUUUCAUAUUUAAGAAAGUAUAUGGAUUAAGCAAACUUGUUGCUUUAAAUAAGAAGUGAGUAAUUAUUUACAAGCUUAUAGCAGCAGCAGCACACAUUUUUAGCAGUGAUUAUUUUAUUGUUCUCUCUGACUACUAUAUAGUCUGUCUGUAAGAGGGAAU
RNAcentral lists this long non-coding RNA (2020 nucleotides) under Homo sapiens (human). RNAcentral's name for it is "HSALNT0220511". The record is from RNAcentral. Lineage: Eukaryota; Metazoa; Chordata; Mammalia; Primates; Hominidae.